GUAGGUGGCAAGCGUUGUCCGGAAUUGUUGGGCGUAAAGCGCGCGCAGGCGGUUCUUUAAGUCUGAUGUGAAAGCCCACGGCUCAACCGUGGAGGGUCAUUGGAAACUGGAGAACUUGAGUACAGAAGAGGAAAGCGGAAUUCCACGUGUAGCGGUGAAAUGCGUAGAGAUGUGGAGGAACACCAGUGGCGAAGGCGGCUUUCUGGUCUGUAACUGACGCUGAGGCGCGAAAGCGUGGGGGAGCAAACAGGAUUAGAUACCCUGGUAGUCCACGCCGUAAACGAUGAGUGCUAAGUGUUAGGGGGUUUCCGCCCCUUAGUGCUGCAGCUAACGCAUUAAGCACUCCGCCUGGGAGUACGGCCGCAAGGCUG
This 371-nucleotide ribosomal RNA is filed under the name uncultured organism. Its description in RNAcentral is "partial 16S ribosomal RNA". It matches the Rfam family "Bacterial small subunit ribosomal RNA", at positions 527 to 896 of the family's 1533-position model. The record is from RNAcentral.